RNAcentral lists this ribosomal RNA (17 nucleotides) under Parietochloris sp. CCALA 1084. RNAcentral describes it as "partial 26S ribosomal RNA". Lineage: Eukaryota; Viridiplantae; Chlorophyta; Trebouxiophyceae; Trebouxiales; Trebouxiaceae. The record is from RNAcentral.
CGACCUGAGUUCAGGCA